This 253-nucleotide ribosomal RNA is filed under the name uncultured bacterium. RNAcentral's name for it is "partial 16S ribosomal RNA". It matches the Rfam family "Bacterial small subunit ribosomal RNA", at positions 524 to 776 of the family's 1533-position model. The record is from RNAcentral.
UACAGAGGGGGCAAGCGUUGUUCGGAAUUACUGGGCGUAAAGCGUGCGUAGACGGUUAUUUAAGUCGGGUGUGAAAGCCCCGGGCUCAACCUGGGAAUUGCAUUCGAGACUGCCUUGCUCGAGUACUGGAGAGGAGACUGGAAUUUACGGUGUAGCAGUGAAAUGCGUAGAUAUCGUAAGGAAGACCAGUGGCGAAGGCGAGUCUCUGGACAGUUACUGACACUGAGGCACGAAGGCCAGGGGAGCAAACGGG